UACAGAGGGUGCGAGCGUUGUUCGGAAUUACUGGGCGUAAAGGGCUCGUAGGCGGCCAACUAAGUCAGACGUGAAAUCCCUCGGCUUAACCGGGGAACUGCGUCUGAUACUGGAUGGCUUGAGUUUGGGAGAGGGAUGCGGAAUUCCAGGUGUAGCGGUGAAAUGCGUAGAUAUCUGGAGGAACACCGGUGGCGAAGGCGGCAUCCUGGACCAACACUGACGCUGAGGAGCGAAAGCCAGGGGAGCAAACGGG
This 253-nucleotide ribosomal RNA is filed under the name uncultured bacterium. RNAcentral describes it as "partial 16S ribosomal RNA". It matches the Rfam family "Bacterial small subunit ribosomal RNA", at positions 524 to 776 of the family's 1533-position model. The record is from RNAcentral.